CCCAUGCCAACUGCAACGCAAAACUGAACACAACGAAGAACGAGCACGAUGGCGCAGCCGUCCGCUGUGAGCGUGCGCGUACUGCCGAAAAGGAGACACAUUUGCCGCUUCCAAUGUCCAGUAGCCGCGCCUGUGAUGACGCAGUCCCCAGCACAAGCCGCGCGGGCAUGGAGGCAGCGGCGUUCGCUGGAAACAACGUGAGGGAUGCUACUGGCUCCACACAUAGGGGAAAACGCGAAGAUAUCAGCGGCGUCUACAAUGACGUCAACCACGGCACGAAAACAUCAGGGGAACGAAGCCACAAGUGCGAAGUAUGUGGCAAUUCAUUUAAAAGAAAGCGUACUCUCGCGAGACAUUGCCUCGCGCAUACAGGCGACAAGCCCUAUCAGUGCAACAUAUGUGAUCAAUCAUUUUCACGAAAGGAUUAUCUCCAUGUACAUCGCCGCACUCACACAGGCGAGAAGCCCUAUCAUUGCGACUUAUGUGAUAAAUCAUUCUCA
Rhipicephalus sanguineus (brown dog tick) is the source of this 500-nucleotide long non-coding RNA. RefSeq lists it as uncharacterized. The transcript has 3 exons. NCBI's taxonomy places the organism in Eukaryota, Metazoa, Arthropoda, Arachnida, Ixodida, Ixodidae. The record is from RefSeq and is a predicted model, not a curated record.